CCCCUUCCAACCGGCCCUCAAACACCCUAUAUUCAAUCUGUUCCGGCAACGGGACUAUGGACAUAAACGCGCUCGUAAUAAGCGGAUCGGACCCGGGGGCGGUACCCGGCGUCUCCACCAAAAAUCUCUCAUUUGGGGAUCAUGGGGACGAAAUAGGAUCGACGGACGUCUAAAGGGGUUUUGCUUUGUCUCGGUGAGGUACCACCGAUAUCGGUCCAUCAAAGCUAGUUGCAAAUGACAACAAAGCUCCAAUGGCGAUGGCUGCGUAAGCAGUCGGAACUAUUGAAACCUAAGUCCUUAGGCUUUGCGGUUUAAGGCGGGGUCCGCAGGCACCUGGCAACAGAAGCCUGCACU
Boseongicola aestuarii is the source of this 354-nucleotide non-coding RNA. It matches the Rfam family "Alphaproteobacteria transfer-messenger RNA". From Rfam's summary of the family: Bacterial tmRNA, also known as 10Sa RNA or SsrA, is named for its dual tRNA and mRNA-like properties. Its role is to liberate the mRNA from a stalled ribosome. Lineage: Bacteria; Pseudomonadati; Pseudomonadota; Alphaproteobacteria; Rhodobacterales; Paracoccaceae. The record is from Rfam.